This 328-nucleotide long non-coding RNA is filed under the name Canis lupus familiaris (dog). RNAcentral's name for it is "lncRNA (ENSCAFG00845004406.1)". Lineage: Eukaryota; Metazoa; Chordata; Mammalia; Carnivora; Canidae. The record is from RNAcentral.
UAAUUUUAAUAUUUCUGUAGAUAAAGUUUCUAAGAUGUCAGCAUCUGCAUUUACAAUGUUUUCUCUCCUCUUUCUUUUAGGUAAGUGGCCAUCUUAUGCUUGGAUACAUCAACUUCAGAACGGAUGGAUGUGUAAGGCUCCAUCCCUUGUCUCUGAUGCUGUGGUUGUGUUGUGUUUUCACUUGGACCCUUUGAAGAGUGCCCACGGAUGGAUUUUUGCACGCUGUCUGCUUGGCUGCAGGGCAAUUGAAGAUCAAUUUUCUGUGGUUGGGCUUAUUUGCUUGUGUAAAAUAUAUAUUGUUACAAAGACAAUCUGGAUGUGUAUUUGA